RNAcentral lists this ribosomal RNA (274 nucleotides) under uncultured bacterium. RNAcentral describes it as "partial 16S ribosomal RNA". It matches the Rfam family "Bacterial small subunit ribosomal RNA", at positions 523 to 796 of the family's 1533-position model. The record is from RNAcentral.
AUACGAAGGGGGCAAGCGUUGUUCGGAAUAACUGGGCGUAAAGCGCACGUAGGAGGAUUGAUCAGUUAGAGGUGAAAUCCCAGGGCUCAACCAUGGAACUGCCUUUAAUACUGUCAGUCUAGAGAUCGAGAGAGGUGAGUGGAAUUCCGAGUGUAGAGGUGAAAUUCGUAGAUAUUCGGAGGAACACCAGUGGCGAAGGAGGCUCACUGGCUCGAUACUGACGCUGAGGUGCGAAAGCGUGGGGAGCAAACAGGAUUAGAUACCCCAGUAGUCC